Annulohypoxylon bovei var. microspora is the source of this 105-nucleotide non-coding RNA. Lineage: Eukaryota; Fungi; Ascomycota; Sordariomycetes; Xylariales; Hypoxylaceae. The record is from the annotation of a GenBank genome assembly.
GGCACUUUGGCGGAGUGGUUAACGCGAUGCCCUGCUAUUAGCUAAGGAUUUAGCGUAGUGUAGGCAUUCCCUUCGGGGGCGUGUGUUCGAAUCACACAGGUGUCG